GACGAACGCUGGCGGCGUGCUUAACACAUGCAAGUCGAACGGAAAGGCCUCUUUCGGGGGGUACUCGAGUGGCGAACGGGUGAGUAACACGUGAGUAACCUGCCCUUGACUUUGGGAUAACUUCAGGAAACUGGGGCUAAUACCGGAUAGGAGCUCCUGCUGCAUGGUGGGGUUGGAAAGUUUCGGCGGUUGGGGAUGGACUCGCGGCUUAUCAGCUUGUUGGUGGGGCAGUGGCUUACCAAGGCUUUGACGGGUAGCCGGCCUGAGAGGGUGACCGGCCACAUUGGGACUGAGAUACGGCCCAGACUCCUACGGGAGGCAGCAGUGGGGAAUAUUGCACAAUGGGUGGAAGCCUGAUGCAGCAACGCCGUGUGCGGGAUGACGGCCUUCGGGUUGUAAACCGCUUUCGCUCAUGACGAAGCUUUGUGUGACGGUAGUGGGUAAAGAAGCACCGGCUAACUACGUG
This 466-nucleotide ribosomal RNA is filed under the name uncultured bacterium. Its description in RNAcentral is "partial 16S ribosomal RNA". It matches the Rfam family "Bacterial small subunit ribosomal RNA", at positions 28 to 507 of the family's 1533-position model. The record is from RNAcentral.